GCUGGCGGCGUGCCUAACACAUGCAAGUCGUACGAGUAAAUCCCGAGCUUGCUUGGGAGAGUAAAGUGGCGCACGGGUGAGUAACGCGUGGGUAACCCACCUUCGAAUCUGGGAUAACUUCGCGAAAGCGAAGCUAAUACCGGAUAAGACCACAGCCGCUUCGGCGGCAGAGGUUAAAGCUGACCUCUCCAUGGAAGUUAGCGUUCGAGGACGGGCCCGCGUCCUAUCAGCUUGUUGGUGGGGUAAAGGCCUACCAAGGCAGCGACGGGUAGCUGGUCUGAGAGGAUGAUCAGCCACACUGGAACUGGAACACGGUCCAGACUCCUACGGGAGGCAGCAGUGAGGAAUUUUGCGCAAUGGGCGAAAGCCUGACGCAGCAACGCCGCGUGGGUGAAGAAGGCUUUCGGGUCGUAAAGCCCUGUCAGGUGGGAAGAAACCCUUCAGCACUAAUAAUGCUGAAGCCUGACGG
This 469-nucleotide ribosomal RNA is filed under the name uncultured Pseudomonadota bacterium. RNAcentral's name for it is "bacterial SSU rRNA". It matches the Rfam family "Bacterial small subunit ribosomal RNA", at positions 35 to 475 of the family's 1533-position model. The record is from RNAcentral. Lineage: Bacteria; Pseudomonadati; Pseudomonadota.